This 429-nucleotide ribosomal RNA is filed under the name Acidobacteriota bacterium. RNAcentral's name for it is "Acidobacteria bacterium partial 16S ribosomal RNA". It matches the Rfam family "Bacterial small subunit ribosomal RNA", at positions 355 to 776 of the family's 1533-position model. Lineage: Bacteria; Pseudomonadati; Acidobacteriota. The record is from RNAcentral.
UGGGGAAUUUUGGACAAUGGGGGCAACCCUGAUCCAGCAAUGCCGCGUGUGUGAAGAAGGCCUUCGGGUUGUAAAGCAUUUUUGUCCGGGAAGAAAUCGCACCUGAUAAUACCGGGUGUGGAUGACGGUAUCGGAAGAAUAAGGACCGGCUAACUACGUGCCAGCAGCCGCGGUAAUACGUAGGGUCCAAGCGUUAAUCGGAAUUACUGGGCGUAAAGCGUGCGCAGGCGGUUGUGCAAGACCGAGGUGAAAUCCCCGGGCAUAACCUGGGAAUUGCAUGGAUGACUGGACGGUUAAAGUGUGUCAGAGGGGGGUAGAAUUCCACGUGUGGCGAUGAAAUGCGAAGUGAUGUGGAGAAAUACCGAUGGCGAAGGCAGCCCCCAGGGAAAACACUGACGCUCAGGCAAGAAGGCGUGGGGGGCAAACAGG